AUUAGAUACCCUAUUAUUUUUAGUGUAAAAAAGGUAAGACCAGAGUAGUAUUAGAUAUAUUCUUGAAACUUAAAGAAUUUGGCGGUAUUAUAGUCUAUUUAGAGGAGUCUGUUAUGUAAUCGAUAUUCCACGUUAAACCUUACUUACAUUAAUUUUUGUAUACCGCUGUUUAUUGGAAAUAUUCAUAGGUAAUUUUCUGGAUAAAUGAUUAAUUAAAAUUUCAAGUCAAGGUGCAGUAAUGUGUAAGAUGAAUAAUGGAUUACAAUAAAUUGUAUUUAUAACGGAGAGGGUUUAAUGAAAUUUAGUUUUUGAAGGUGGAUUUAAUAGUAAUUUUUAAAAAGAUUAUAAUAAUGAUUAUUAGCUCUAUAAUAUGUACACAUCGCCCG
This 386-nucleotide ribosomal RNA is filed under the name Tylomantis sp. MN047. RNAcentral describes it as "partial 12S ribosomal RNA". The record is from RNAcentral. Lineage: Eukaryota; Metazoa; Arthropoda; Insecta; Mantodea; Nanomantidae.